RNAcentral lists this ribosomal RNA (1449 nucleotides) under Lacticaseibacillus paracasei. RNAcentral's name for it is "bacterial SSU rRNA". It matches the Rfam family "Bacterial small subunit ribosomal RNA". Lineage: Bacteria; Bacillati; Bacillota; Bacilli; Lactobacillales; Lactobacillaceae. The record is from RNAcentral.
CCUAAUACAUGCAAGUCGAACGAGUUCUCGUUGAUGAUCGGUGCUUGCACCGAGAUUCAACAUGGAACGAGUGGCGGACGGGUGAGUAACACGUGGGUAACCUGCCCUUAAGUGGGGGAUAACAUUUGGAAACAGAUGCUAAUACCGCAUAGAUCCAAGAACCGCAUGGUUCUUGGCUGAAAGAUGGCGUAAGCUAUCGCUUUUGGAUGGACCCGCGGCGUAUUAGCUAGUUGGUGAGGUAAUGGCUCACCAAGGCGAUGAUACGUAGCCGAACUGAGAGGUUGAUCGGCCACAUUGGGACUGAGACACGGCCCAAACUCCUACGGGAGGCAGCAGUAGGGAAUCUUCCACAAUGGACGCAAGUCUGAUGGAGCAACGCCGCGUGAGUGAAGAAGGCUUUCGGGUCGUAAAACUCUGUUGUUGGAGAAGAAUGGUCGGCAGAGUAACUGUUGUCGGCGUGACGGUAUCCAACCAGAAAGCCACGGCUAACUACGUGCCAGCAGCCGCGGUAAUACGUAGGUGGCAAGCGUUAUCCGGAUUUAUUGGGCGUAAAGCGAGCGCAGGCGGUUUUUUAAGUCUGAUGUGAAAGCCCUCGGCUUAACCGAGGAAGCGCAUCGGAAACUGGGAAACUUGAGUGCAGAAGAGGACAGUGGAACUCCAUGUGUAGCGGUGAAAUGCGUAGAUAUAUGGAAGAACACCAGUGGCGAAGGCGGCUGUCUGGUCUGUAACUGACGCUGAGGCUCGAAAGCAUGGGUAGCGAACAGGAUUAGAUACCCUGGUAGUCCAUGCCGUAAACGAUGAAUGCUAGGUGUUGGAGGGUUUCCGCCCUUCAGUGCCGCAGCUAACGCAUUAAGCAUUCCGCCUGGGGAGUACGACCGCAAGGUUGAAACUCAAAGGAAUUGACGGGGGCCCGCACAAGCGGUGGAGCAUGUGGUUUAAUUCGAAGCAACGCGAAGAACCUUACCAGGUCUUGACAUCUUUUGAUCACCUGAGAGAUCAGGUUUCCCCUUCGGGGGCAAAAUGACAGGUGGUGCAUGGUUGUCGUCAGCUCGUGUCGUGAGAUGUUGGGUUAAGUCCCGCAACGAGCGCAACCCUUAUGACUAGUUGCCAGCAUUUAGUUGGGCACUCUAGUAAGACUGCCGGUGACAAACCGGAGGAAGGUGGGGAUGACGUCAAAUCAUCAUGCCCCUUAUGACCUGGGCUACACACGUGCUACAAUGGAUGGUACAACGAGUUGCGAGACCGCGAGGUCAAGCUAAUCUCUUAAAGCCAUUCUCAGUUCGGACUGUAGGCUGCAACUCGCCUACACGAAGUCGGAAUCGCUAGUAAUCGCGGAUCAGCACGCCGCGGUGAAUACGUUCCCGGGCCUUGUACACACCGCCCGUCACACCAUGAGAGUUUGUAACACCCGAAGCCGGUGGCGUAACCCUUUUAGGGAGCGAGCCGUCU